UAAUCUUUCUAGAGCAAAUCCUCAUCUAGUUAUGGCAGAUCCACAUAUGACUGCUCAGAAUCACCCGUGAGAACAAUAACUUUUUAAGAUUUUAAUUGGAGU
This is a non-coding RNA of Populus trichocarpa (black cottonwood), 102 nucleotides long. Lineage: Eukaryota; Viridiplantae; Streptophyta; Magnoliopsida; Malpighiales; Salicaceae. The record is from Rfam.